GCGGGGAUAGUUCAGUUGGGAGAACGUCAGACUGAAGUGAUACUUCAAUCGUUAUCUGAAGGUCGUGUGUUCGAUCCACACUCACCGCA
Molecule: transfer RNA, 89 nt
Filed under: Cryphonectria parasitica EP155
Lineage: Eukaryota; Fungi; Ascomycota; Sordariomycetes; Diaporthales; Cryphonectriaceae
Rfam family: tRNA
About the family: Transfer RNA (tRNA) molecules are approximately 80 nucleotides in length.
Source: Rfam by way of RNAcentral